This 433-nucleotide ribosomal RNA is filed under the name uncultured bacterium. Its description in RNAcentral is "partial 16S ribosomal RNA". It matches the Rfam family "Bacterial small subunit ribosomal RNA", at positions 29 to 507 of the family's 1533-position model. The record is from RNAcentral.
AACGAACGCUGGUGGCAUGCCUAACACAUGCAAGUCGAACGAGACCUUCGGGUCUAGUGGCGCACGGGUGCGUAACGCGUGGGAACCUGCCCUUAGGCUCGGAAUAACUCCCCGAAAGGGGUGCUAAUACCGGAUAAUUUCUUCGGACCAAAGAUUUAUCGCCUUUGGAUGGGCCCGCGUUGGAUUAGCUAGUUGGUAGGGUAAAAGCCUACCAAGGCGACGAUCCAUAGCUGGUCUGAGAGGAUGAUCAGCCACACUGGGACUGAGACACGGCCCAGACUCCUACGGGAGGCAGCAGUGGGGGAUAUUGGACAAUGGGCGAAAGCCUGAUCCAGCAAUGCCGCGUGAGUGAUGAAGGCCUUAGGGUUGUAAAGCUCUUUUACCCGGGAUGAUAAUGACAGUACCGGGAGAAUAAGCUCCGGCUAACUCCGUG